UGGGGAAUAUUGGACAAUGGGCGCAAGCCUGAUCCAGCCAUGCCGCGUGAGUGACGAAGGCCCUAGGGUUGUAAAGCUCAUGGUUAAUACCCGUGAGUCUUGACGUAACCUACAGAAGAAGCACCGGCUAACUUCGUGCCAGCAGCCGCGGUAAUACGGAGGGUGCGAGCGUUAAUCGGAAUUACUGGGCGUAAAGCGCGCGUAGGUGGUUCUGUAAGUCGGAUGUGAAAGCCCAGGUCUUAACCUUGGAACUGCAUUCGAUACUGCAGAACUAGAGUAUGGUAGAGGGAAGUGGAAUUUCCGGUGUAGCGGUGAAAUGCGUAGAUAUCGGAAGGAACACCAGUGGCGAAGGCGACUUCCUGGGCCAAUACUGACACUGAGGUGCGAAAGCGUGGGGAGCAAACAGGAUUAGAUACCCCCGUAGUCC
This 427-nucleotide ribosomal RNA is filed under the name uncultured prokaryote. Its description in RNAcentral is "bacterial SSU rRNA". It matches the Rfam family "Bacterial small subunit ribosomal RNA", at positions 355 to 796 of the family's 1533-position model. The record is from RNAcentral.